UUGUCAAUCAAAUUAGCAGUUCUCACUUAAUCUUUUUUAAUUUCAUCCUUUUGUCCUGUCAUCGCAAAUGCGACAGAAUGUUCGCGAAAGUCAUUUCGCAAACGCGAUAAUAGCGGAGUGGGUUUGUAAUUGCGAAUUCCUGUUUGCAAUUGCGAUACCCGCAACUUAUAAAUUCACACUUACACGUAUUUUUAGCUAUUUUUCAUAUAUUUUCAGAACAUAAACUCUCUAGGGCGAUUUUCCAAAGGAAAUUUCUUCUCCAAAUCAAUUGUAAGUGAUUUCUAACUAGUUUUCUUCAAUCCUUAACCUCUUUUCACAUGAUUUUAACUUAAAAUCAAUAGUUUUCAUGGGGGAAAUUGGGUGAUUUAGGUAAAACCUAGAUUUUUCUAAUUUUUGAAAUUUGGACCUCGGUUUGAGAUCCGAUUUCAAAACAAAUUAUAUAUUUGGGUUGGUGGGGGAAUGAAUCAUCGGGUUUUGUUUCGAACCUUUGGUUUUGACCAUGUGGGCACGAGGGCGAUUUUUGACUUUUUGGGUAAAAUGUUAAAAAACCAAUUUUCAUGCAUUAGAAUUGAUUCAUUUAGCAUUUUAUUGAUGUAAUUAAGUAACUUGUGGCUAGAUACGAGGGAGUUGGUGGUGGAAUCAAGAGAUAAAGCGAUAGUUGAGACUUGAAUUAUGUUCGUGGCAUCGAGGUAAGCAUUUGGUCUAACCUUUGCUUGAGGGAUUAGAAGUCGAGUCUUAUUUGCUAUGUGAUAUUUGUUGAGUAUGAUGUAUAGACAUGGUGACUGGUAUCUAUACGUUAGUAUCAAGCAUGUCUGUGAGUCUUAUAUUAUGAUUAUUAUGACUUUAUUAUAUUAUUCAUGCUUUUGGUGAUGAUUUCUAUUGUUGGGUAAAGUUUGUGGAAGUAAUAGUAAUAUUUGAACAUUAAGGAGCGUUGUCUCAAGUUUUAUAAUGAAAUAUAAAAGUAUAAAUGGUGAUUGAAACUUUUAGAGCAAUGGUUCAAGUCGUGAAGUGAAUUGUGAGGUAAAAGUAAAAAAAAGAGGAAAAUCAUUAUAUUAUUGCUUUUAAUACUAUCUCCCUUGUCGGGAUGUUGAUGUUUGAUGUUGUUCCCUUGCCGAGACUUGAUUGUUGAGCUAUUGUUCUCUUGCCGGGAUCUUUAAUGUAAUUUCAUCUAUUUCCUUGUCCUAUUGCUUGUGAUUGUUGUUUGGGCGAGGAAAAGUGCUAAAGCACGAAUGGUGAUGCCGUGUAUUGUUUUGGUGAGAAGGUAUUAAAGCACCAAGGGUAAUGUUGUGUAUGUUUUGUGAGGAAGUGUAUAAAGCACGAAGGAUGAUGCCGUGCCGCACAAUAUACAAUUCCGUCCCGAUCAUAUUAAUUAUAUGCUGAGGACGAGAGCAAAAGCAAGAAGGGUGAUGCCGUGCAAUCUAAAUUAAUUUUUUUGGUGAGGAUGAGAGUAAAAGAAAUAAGGGUGAUGCUGUACACUUAUUGAUUCUUGAAUCUUGUUGAUAACUGUGAUAUGGUGUUCCUGUUAUUUACCCAUUGUCUUUCUUUUCUUAAUUGAUGUUUCCAUGCAGCAUAUUUCCCCUUCCCAUACUUGAAUGUACAUUGUUGUUUUUUUUUUCCCUUUGUAUAUGGUUAAACUGCACAGAUUUACUUGGUAGUCUGGUCCUAGACUCGUCAGUACUUCGCCGGGGUUAGGCUAGCACUUACCAGCAUAUGGGGUCAGUUGUGUAGAUAUUACACUUUUCACUGUGUGCAGAUCCCGGAGCAACAACUUUUGGACCUUAGCUUGGGUGGCUGACUUCAGUCCAUAUGGAGAUCAAAGGUAACCCUGCAGACGUACGCAUGCCAUGGCGUAUCCCUCUAUCCCUUUAUCCCGUUUCAUUUAAAUAUUUCCGAAAUCGUGUAUUAUUUAUCUUUCAGAAUUUAUUUGUAGCACUCUUAUACUGUCUCGAAAGCUGUG
RNAcentral lists this long non-coding RNA (1957 nucleotides) under Nicotiana benthamiana. RNAcentral's name for it is "long non-coding RNA (NBEN_LNC029873)". Lineage: Eukaryota; Viridiplantae; Streptophyta; Magnoliopsida; Solanales; Solanaceae. The record is from RNAcentral.